UCCCUGAGACCUCAAUUGCGACUGCUUAAAGAUCGCGAAUUGUGAGCUCAGGAUAC
RNAcentral lists this microRNA precursor (56 nucleotides) under Heligmosomoides polygyrus. Its description in RNAcentral is "lin-4 stem-loop (hpo-lin-4)". Its record names the gene hpo-lin-4. The record is from miRBase by way of RNAcentral. Lineage: Eukaryota; Metazoa; Nematoda; Chromadorea; Rhabditida; Heligmosomidae.